GGGCGUGUGGUGUAGUGGUAUCACGUCUGCUUUGCAUGCAGAAGGCCCCGGGUUCGAACCCCGGCAUGUCCA
RNAcentral lists this transfer RNA (72 nucleotides) under Perkinsus olseni. It matches the Rfam family "tRNA". Rfam says of the family: Transfer RNA (tRNA) molecules are approximately 80 nucleotides in length. The record is from Rfam by way of RNAcentral. Lineage: Eukaryota; Perkinsozoa; Perkinsida; Perkinsidae.